Molecule: long non-coding RNA, 616 nt
Filed under: Heterocephalus glaber (naked mole-rat)
Lineage: Eukaryota; Metazoa; Chordata; Mammalia; Rodentia; Bathyergidae
Description: lncRNA (ENSHGLG00000032819.1)
Source: RNAcentral
CCAGGGAUUGAACUUGGGAUCUUGUGCAUAUGAGGCAGGCGGUGGCACCACUGAGCAAAAUCCCCGGCCCAACAGUUUGAUAUUUUGAAAUCUGUAUGCAAUAUGUGAUGACCAAAUCAGGGGUCUGCAGCAGAACAGCUCAUUGACAUCAUCCUAUGAGAGGGGAUCAAGAUUCUCAAAGUGAGGGUAGUUUUUUGGACUCCCACUGUGGCCACUCUGUGGGGAAGACCACGUGGGAUGGCAAAGGUGAACACGAGGAAGACGGGCUUUGUGGUUGUCAGUGGCAAGGGUUGACGAGAAAGAGCAACGGAGUGCUGUCUUCUACUGAGACGAGGAAGAGCGAAGGAAGAGCAAGCUGUGGUGGGUCCCAGGACUCCUACAUAACUGUGACUGUGUGUCGGGGAAUGACUUAUAUCCUUGUAACACUUGACAUUCUGCAAAAAGAGUUUCGUGUCAGUCUUAUGAGCUGGGUGGAGUGGAUGCUAUUUGUUUCCAUUUUGUGAAUAAAAAACCCAAGGCUCAGAAAGAGCAAGGCAGUGUAAUAGAUAUGGCUAUUUUGAAACUCGCAUAAGCACAAAAGAAAAUAAAUUGGCUCUUGUGAAGGGGGGCAUCUAAG